UGAGGAAUAUUGGGCAAUGCCCGCAAGGGUGACCCAGCAACGCCGCGUGGAGGAUGAAGGUCGUAAGAUUGUAAACUCCUGUUAGAGGGGAAGAAUACCCGGGAUUGAAUCCCGGUUUGACUGUACCCUCAGAGAAAGCCCCGGCUAACUACGUGCCAGCAGCCGCGGUAAUACGUAGGGGGCAAGCGUUGUCCGGAUUUACUGGGUGUAAAGGGCGCGUAGGCGGGCUCGUAAGUCAGAGGUGAAAUCCUGCAGCUUAACUGCAGAACUGCCUUUGAUACUGCGAGUCUUGAGUUCAGAAGAGAGAGAUGGAAUUCCAGGUGUAGUGGUGAAAUACGUAGAUAUCUGGAAGAACACCAGUUGCGAAGGCGAUCUCUUGGUCUGACACUGACGCUGAGGC
Molecule: ribosomal RNA, 400 nt
Filed under: uncultured bacterium
Lineage: Bacteria
Description: bacterial SSU rRNA
Rfam family: Bacterial small subunit ribosomal RNA
Source: RNAcentral